Molecule: transfer RNA, 72 nt
Filed under: Terriglobia bacterium
Lineage: Bacteria; Pseudomonadati; Acidobacteriota; Terriglobia
Description: Solibacteres bacterium tRNA-Lys
Rfam family: tRNA
About the family: Transfer RNA (tRNA) molecules are approximately 80 nucleotides in length. Their secondary structure includes four short double-helical elements and three loops (D, anti-codon, and T loops). Further hydrogen bonds mediate the characteristic L-shaped molecular structure. tRNAs have two regions of fundamental functional importance: the anti-codon, which is responsible for specific mRNA codon recognition, and the 3' end, to which the tRNAs corresponding amino acid is attached (by aminoacyl-tRNA synthetases). tRNAs cope with the degeneracy of the genetic code in two manners: having more than one tRNA (with a specific anti-codon) for a particular amino acid; and 'wobble' base-pairing, i.e. permitting non-standard base-pairing at the 3rd anti-codon position.
Source: RNAcentral
GGGCCGGUAGCUCAGUCGGUAGAGCAUAUGCCUUUUAAGCAUAGGGUCGCGGGUUCGAGUCCCGCCCGGCUC